RNAcentral lists this ribosomal RNA (594 nucleotides) under uncultured bacterium. RNAcentral's name for it is "partial 16S ribosomal RNA". It matches the Rfam family "Bacterial small subunit ribosomal RNA", at positions 355 to 1376 of the family's 1533-position model. The record is from RNAcentral.
UGGGGAAUUUUGGACAAUGGGCGCAAGCCUGAUCCAGCCAUGCCGCGUGCGGGAAGAAGGCCUUCGGGUUGUAAACCGCUUUUGUCAGGGAAGAAAUCUUCUGAGUUAAUACCUCGGGAGGAUGACGGUACCUGAAGAAUAAGCACCGGCUAACUACGUGCCAGCAGCCGCGGUAAUACGUAGGGUGCAAGCGUUAAUCGGAAUUACUGGGCGUAAAGCGUGCGCAGGCGGUUUUGUAAGACAGAGGUGAAAUCCCCGGGCUCAACCUGGGAACUGCCUUUGUGACUGCAAGGCUUGAGUGCGGCAGAGGGGGCAUGGAAUUCCGCGUGUAGCAGUGAAAUGCGUAGAUAUGCGGAGGAACACCGAUGGCGAAGGCAAUCCCCUGGGCCUGCACUGACGCUCAUGCACGAAAGCGUGGGGACGCAAACAGGAUUAGAUAGCCCCUGGUAGUCCACGCCCCUAAAACCGAUGUCAACUGGUUGUUGGGAAGGUUCCUUCUCAGUAACGUAGCUAACGCGUGAAGUUGACCGCCUGGGGAGUACGGCCGCAAGGUUGAAACUCAAAUGAAUUGACGGGGCUCAUAGCUGUUUCCUG